RNAcentral lists this ribosomal RNA (253 nucleotides) under uncultured bacterium. Its description in RNAcentral is "partial 16S ribosomal RNA". It matches the Rfam family "Bacterial small subunit ribosomal RNA", at positions 524 to 776 of the family's 1533-position model. The record is from RNAcentral.
UACGUAGGUGGCAAGCGUUACUCGGAAUCACUAGGCGUAAAGCGCAGGUAGGUGGUUUGGUAAGUCUUUUGUGAAAGCUCCUGGCUCAACUGGGAGAGGUCAAAGGAAACUACCAGGCUAGAGUGUGGUAGGGGAUACUGGAAUUCCUGGUGUAGCGGUGAAAUGCGUAGAUAUCAGGAGGAAUACCUAUGGCGAAAGCAGGUAUCUGGGCCAUCACUGACACUGAGCUGCGAAAGCUAGGGGAGCAAACAGG